Molecule: transfer RNA, 70 nt
Filed under: Ornithorhynchus anatinus (platypus)
Lineage: Eukaryota; Metazoa; Chordata; Mammalia; Monotremata; Ornithorhynchidae
Rfam family: tRNA
About the family: Transfer RNA (tRNA) molecules are approximately 80 nucleotides in length.
Source: Rfam by way of RNAcentral
AGCAGCGUGGCUCAGUGGAAAGAGCCUGGGCUUGGGAGCCAGAGGUCAUGGGUUCGAAUCCCUGCUUCUG